This 497-nucleotide ribosomal RNA is filed under the name uncultured bacterium. Its description in RNAcentral is "partial 16S ribosomal RNA". It matches the Rfam family "Bacterial small subunit ribosomal RNA", at positions 28 to 507 of the family's 1533-position model. The record is from RNAcentral.
GAUGAACGCUGGCGGCGUGCCUAAUACAUGCAAGUCGAGCGAACGGACGAGAAGCGUUCUUCUCUGAUGUUAGCGGCGGACGGGUGAGUAACACGUAGAUAACCUACCUAUAAGACUUGGAUAACUUCGGGAAACCGUAGCUAAUACCGGAUAAUAUUUUGAACCGCAUGGUUCAAAAGUGAAAGACAGUCUUGCUGUCACUUAGAGAUGGAGCCGCGCUGCAUUAGCUAGUUGGUAAGGUAACGGCUUACCAAGGCAACGAUGCAUAGCCGACCUGAGAGGGUGAUCAGCCACACUGGAACUGAGACACGGUCCAGACUCCUACGGGAGGCAGCAGUAGGGAAUAUUCCGCAAUGGGCGCAAGCCUGACGGAGCCACGCCGCGUGAGUGAUGAAGGUCUUCGGAUCGUAAAACUCUGUUAUUAGGGAAGAAAAUCUGUGUAAGUAACUGUGCAUAUCUUGACGGUACCUAAUCAGAAAGCCACGGCUAACUACGUG